This 253-nucleotide ribosomal RNA is filed under the name uncultured bacterium. RNAcentral describes it as "partial 16S ribosomal RNA". It matches the Rfam family "Bacterial small subunit ribosomal RNA", at positions 524 to 776 of the family's 1533-position model. The record is from RNAcentral.
UACAGAGGGAGCAAGCGUUGUUCGGAAUUACUGGGCGUAAAGCGCACGUAGGCGGACUAUUAAGUCAGGGGUGAAAUCCCGGGGCUCAACCCCGGAACUGCCUUUGAUACUGGUAGUCUCGAGUCCGGAAGAGGUGAGUGGAAUUCCGAGUGUAGAGGUGAAAUUCGUAGAUAUUCGGAGGAACACCAGUGGCGAAGGCGGCUCACUGGUCCGGUACUGACGCUGAGGUGCGAAAGCGUGGGGAGCAAACAGG